CUCUAGCCCUGACAGCAGCGGGCAUUCCGAUCCUUCAUCGGAAUAAAGCGGAUGGCAGGAACAUUC
Molecule: small RNA, 66 nt
Filed under: Pedobacter sp. SG908
Lineage: Bacteria; Pseudomonadati; Bacteroidota; Sphingobacteriia; Sphingobacteriales; Sphingobacteriaceae
Also listed under: 1 other name
Description: Flavo-1 RNA
Rfam family: Flavo-1 RNA
Source: RNAcentral